GUGCCAGCCGCCGCGGUAAUACGUAGGGUGCGAGCGUUAAUCGGAAUUACUGGGCGUAAAGCGUGCGCAGGCGGUUCGACAAGUCUGAUGUGAAAGCCCCGGGCUCAACCUGGGAAUGGCAUUGGAAACUGGCGAGCUAGAGUGUGGCAGAGGGGGGUGGAAUUCCGCGUGUAGCAGUGAAAUGCGUAGAGAUGCGGAGGAACACCGAUGGCGAAGGCAGCCCCCUGGGCUUUCACUGACGCUCAGGCACGAAAGCGUGGGGAGCAAACAGGAUUAGAUACCCCCGUAGUCC
Molecule: ribosomal RNA, 292 nt
Filed under: uncultured bacterium
Lineage: Bacteria
Description: partial 16S ribosomal RNA
Rfam family: Bacterial small subunit ribosomal RNA
Source: RNAcentral